Molecule: ribosomal RNA, 1300 nt
Filed under: metagenome
Description: bacterial LSU rRNA
Rfam family: Bacterial large subunit ribosomal RNA
Source: RNAcentral
AAAAAAAGCUUCUGGCAAUGCAUAUGCGGCCCGUACCAAAACCGACACAGGUGGGCAGGGAGAGAAUCCCGAGGUGAGCGAGAGAACUGUUGCCAAGGAACUCGGCAAAAUGACUCCGUAAGUUAGCGAGAAGGAGUGCUUAAGCAAUUAAGCCGCAGUGAAGAGGCCCAAGCGACUGUUUAACUAAAACACAGCUCUCUGCGAAGUCGCAAGACGAAGUAUAGGGGGUGACACCUGCCCGGUGCUGGAAGGUUAAGAGGAUCUGUUAAGAGCGAUCUGAAGCAGUGAUCCGAAGCCCCAGUGAACGGCGGCCGUAACGAUAACGGUCCUAAGGUAGCGAAAUUCCUUGUCAGGUAAGAUCUGACCCGCACGAAAGGUGUAACGAUUUGGGCGCUGUCUCGGCAGCAGACUCGGUGAAAUCUUAGUACCUGUGAAAAUGCAGGUUACCCGCAACUAGACGGAAAGACCCCAUGGAGCUUUACUGCAGCCUGAUAUUGAAUUCUGGUCAUACAUGUACAGGAUAGGUGGGAGACAAAGAGACGUGCACGCCAGUGUACGAGGAGUCGACGUUGGGAUACCACUCUUGUGUGACUGGGGUUCUAACCUGGUAUCGAGAACAGGUACGGGGAGAGUGUCAGGUGGGCAGUUUGACUGGGGCGGUCGCCUCCCAAAGAGUAACGGAGGCGCCCAAAGGUACGCUCAGAUUGGAUGGAAACCAAUCGUCGAGUGCAAUUGCAGAAGCGUGCUUGACUGUGAGACAGACAAGUCGAACAGGGACGAAAGUCGGGAAUAGUGAUCCGGCGGUGCCGAAUGGAAGGGCCGUCGCUCAACGGAUAAAAGCUACCCUGGGGAUAACAGGCUGAUCUCGCCCAAGAGUUCACAUCGACGGCGAGGUUUGGCACCUCGAUGUCGGCUCAUCGCAUCCUGGAGCUGGAUUCGGUUCCAAGGGUUGGGCUGUCCGCCCAUUAAAGCGGUACGCGAGCUGGGUUCAGAACGUCGUGAGACAGUUCGGUCCCUAUCUGUUGUGGGCGAAGGAGAUCUGCGGAGAGCUGUCCUCAGUACGAGAGGACCGGGAUGGACCUACCGCUGGUGCACCGGUUGUUCCGCCAGGGGCAUAGCCGGGUAGCUAAGUAGGGAAGGGAUAAGCGCUGAAAGCAUCUAAGCACGAAGCCUACUCCAAGAUGAGAUCUCCCAUUCGCAAGAAGUAAGACCCCUUAAAGACGAUAAGGUAGAUAGGCCAGGGAUGGAAGUGCAGUGAUGUACGGAGUUGACUGGUACUAAUCGGUCGAGGACUUAAUCU